This 253-nucleotide ribosomal RNA is filed under the name uncultured bacterium. Its description in RNAcentral is "partial 16S ribosomal RNA". It matches the Rfam family "Bacterial small subunit ribosomal RNA", at positions 524 to 776 of the family's 1533-position model. The record is from RNAcentral.
UACGAAGGGGGCUAGCGUUGUUCGGAAUUACUGGGCGUAAAGGGCGCGUAGGCGGUUUGUCAAGUCAGGCGUGAAAGCCCCGGGCUCAACCUGGGAACUGCGCUUGAGACUGGCAGGCUCGAGUCCGGAAGAGGCGAGUGGAAUUCCCGGUGUAGCGGUGAAAUGCGCAGAUAUCGGGAGGAACACCAAUGGCGAAGGCAGCUCGCUGGGACGGUACUGACGCUGAGACGCGAAAGCGUGGGGAGCAAACAGG